RNAcentral lists this ribosomal RNA (463 nucleotides) under uncultured bacterium. RNAcentral's name for it is "partial 16S ribosomal RNA". It matches the Rfam family "Bacterial small subunit ribosomal RNA", at positions 28 to 507 of the family's 1533-position model. The record is from RNAcentral.
GAUGAACGCUGACAGAAUGCUUAACACAUGCAAGUCGAUGGGGAAGUGGUGCUUGCACCCUGGCAACCCUGGCGGACGGGUGAGUAACGCGUAAGGGACUUACCUGCAGGACUGGGAUAACAGGGGGAAACUCCUGACAAGACCGGAUAAUGUCAUGGAGCUGCAUGGCUUUAUGAUGAAAGGAGACGCCUGCGGAGAGCCUUGCGUCCUAUUAGCUAGUUGGUGAGGUAAUGGCUCACCAAGGCGAAGAUAGGUAGCCGGCCUGAGAGGGUGGACGGCCACAAGGGGACUGAGAUACGGCCCUUACUCCUACGGGAGGCAGCAGGGGGGAAUAUUGGACAAUGGGGGCAACCCUGAUCCAGCAAUUCUGUGUGCACGAAGAAGGUUUUCGGAUUGUAAAGUGCUUUCAGCAGGGUAGAAGUAAGUGACGGUACCUGCAGAAGAAGCGACGGCUAAAUACGUG